This 431-nucleotide ribosomal RNA is filed under the name uncultured bacterium. Its description in RNAcentral is "partial 16S ribosomal RNA". It matches the Rfam family "Bacterial small subunit ribosomal RNA", at positions 29 to 507 of the family's 1533-position model. The record is from RNAcentral.
AACGAACGCUGGCGGCAGGCUUAACACAUGCCAGUCGAGCGCCCCGCAAGGGGAGCGGCAGACGGGUGAGUAACGCGUGGGAACGUACCUUUUGGUUCGGAACAACUCCGGGAAACUGGAGCUAAUACCGGAUAAGCCCUAACGGGGAAAGAUUUAUCGCCGAAAGAUCGGCCCGCGUCUGAUUAGCUAGUUGGUGAGGUAACGGCUCACCAAGGCGACGAUCAGUAGCUGGUCUGAGAGGAUGAUCAGCCACACUGGGACUGAGACACGGCCCAGACUCCUACGGGAGGCAGCAGUGGGGAAUAUUGGACAAUGGGCGCAAGCCUGAUCCAGCCAUGCUGCGUGAGUGAUGAAGGCCUUAGGGUUGUAAAGCUCUUUUGUCCGGGAAGAUAAUGACUGUACCGGAAGAAUAAGCCCCGGCUAACUUCGUG